This 591-nucleotide ribosomal RNA is filed under the name Saccharomyces cerevisiae (brewer's yeast). Its description in RNAcentral is "eukaryotic LSU rRNA". It matches the Rfam family "Eukaryotic large subunit ribosomal RNA", at positions 56 to 669 of the family's 3401-position model. Lineage: Eukaryota; Fungi; Ascomycota; Saccharomycetes; Saccharomycetales; Saccharomycetaceae. The record is from RNAcentral.
CGGCAACGGAAUUAUGCCUUAGUACGGCGAGUGAGCGGCAAAAGCUCAAAUUUGAAAUCUGGUACCUUCGGUGCCCGAGUUGUAAUUUGGAGAGGGCAACUUUGGGGCCGUUCCUUGUCUAUGUUCCUUGGAACAGGACGUCAUAGAGGGUGAGAAUCCCGUGUGGCGAGGAGUGCGGUUCUUUGUAAAGUGCCUUCGAAGAGUCGAGUUGUUUGGGAAUGCAGCUCUAAGUGGGUGGUAAAUUCCAUCUAAAGCUAAAUAUUGGCGAGAGACCGAUAGCGAACAAGUACAGUGAUGGAAAGAUGAAAAGAACUUUGAAAAGAGAGUGAAAAAGUACGUGAAAUUGUUGAAAGGGAAGGGCAUUUGAUCAGACAUGGUGUUUUGUGCCCUCUGCUCCUUGUGGGUAGGGGAAUCUCGCAUUUCACUGGGCCAGCAUCAGUUUUGGUGGCAGGAUAAAUCCAUAGGAAUGUAGCUUGCCUCGGUAAGUAUUAUAGCCUGUGGGAAUACUGCCAGCUGGGACUGAGGACUGCGACGUAAGUCAAGGAUGCUGGCAUAAUGGUUAUAUGCCGCCCGUCUUGAAACACGGACCAA